CCUACGGGCGGCAGCAGUGAGGAAUAUUGGUCAAUGGACGCAAGUCUGAACCAGCCAUGCCGCGUGCAGGAAGACUGCUCUAUGAGUUGUAAACUUCUUUUGUACGAGGGUAAACUCAGAUACGUGUAUCUGUCUGAAAGUAUCUUACGAAUAAGCAUCGGCUAACUCCGUGCCAGCAGCCGCGGUAAUACGGAGGAUUCAAGCGUUAUCCGGAUUUCUUGGGUUUAAAGGGUGCGUAGGCGGUCGGAUAAGUUAGAGGUGAAAUCCCGAGGCUCAACUUCGGAAUUGCCUCUGAUACUGUUGGGCUAGAGAGUAGUUGCGGUAGGCGGAAUGUAUGGUGUAGCGGUGAAAUGCUUAGAUAUCAUACAGAACACCGAUUGCGAAGGCAGCUUACCAAGCUACUUCUGACGUUGAGGCACGAAAGCGUGGGGAGCAAACAGGAUUAGAUACCCUAGUAGUC
RNAcentral lists this ribosomal RNA (460 nucleotides) under uncultured bacterium. RNAcentral describes it as "partial 16S ribosomal RNA". It matches the Rfam family "Bacterial small subunit ribosomal RNA", at positions 338 to 795 of the family's 1533-position model. The record is from RNAcentral.